Molecule: ribosomal RNA, 1264 nt
Filed under: metagenome
Description: bacterial LSU rRNA
Rfam family: Bacterial large subunit ribosomal RNA
Source: RNAcentral
CCGGAGACGAGAAGUCUAAGGCGCUCGGGAGAACACUGGUUAAGGAACUCUGCAAAAUGACCCCGUAAGUUCGCGACAAGGGGUGCCCCUGAUGGUUUACGCUUUUGGGGGCCACAGUAAAUCGGCUUCUGCGACUGUUUAUCAAAAACACAGGACUCUGCUAACUCGCAAGAGGAUGUAUAGAGUCUGACGCCUGCCCGGUGCCGGUAGGUUAAGGAAGAGAGUCAGCUCGCAAGAGCGAAGCUCGCAACCGAAGCCCCGGUAAACGGCGGCCGUAACUAUGACGGUCCUAAGGUAGCGAAGUUCCUUGUCGGGCAAGUUCCGACCUGCAUGAAUGGCGUAACGACAGAAGCACUGUCUCGACCAGUGACCCGGUAAAAUUGUAGUCGUGGUGAAGAUGCCACGUUCCCGCAGCAAGACGGAAAGACCCCGUGAACCUUUACUGCAGGCUGAUAUUGGGCUGUGGUGAAUCCUGUGUAGGAUAGGUGGGAGGCGUUGAAGCCGGGACGCUAGUUCCGGUCGAGCCAACCUUGAAAUACCACCCUGGGUAGACUUUAGUUCUAACUCCGAUUCCCGUGAUCCGGGCGGGGGACAAUGUCAGUUGGGCAGUUUGACUGGGGCGGUCUCCUCCCAAAAUGUAACGGAGGAGUCCCAAGGUCCCCUCAACCUGGUUGGCAAUCAGGUGUCGAGCGCAAAGGUAGAAGGGUGCUUGACUGCGAGACCGAUAGGUCGAGCAGAUGCGAAAGCAGGGCUUAGUGAUCCGGUGGUCCCGUAUGGAAGGGCCAUCGCUCAUCAGACAAAAGGUACUCCGGGGAUAACAGGCUUAUCGCGCCCGAGCGUCCAUAGCGGCGGCGCGGUUUGGCACCUCGAUGUCGGCUCAUCACAUCCUGGGGGUGGAGAAGCUCCCAAGGGUUCGGCUGUUCGCCGAUGAAAGUGGUACGUGAGCUGGGUUCAGACCGUCGUGAGACAGGUCGGUCCCUAUCUGCUGUGGGCGCACGAGACCUGAGGAGGUUCUUCUUUAGUACGAGAGGAUUUAGAAGGACGUACCUCUGGUGUUCCAGUUGUCGCGCUCGGCACGGCUGGAUAGCUAUGUACGGAAAGGAUAAACGCUGAAAGCAUCUAAGCGUGAAGCCCUCUCCAAGAUGAGGUCUCGUAAGGGCGUAAGCUCGAAAGCCCCCUGGAAGACGACCAGGUCGAUAGGCCGGAUGUGUACGCGCAGCAAUGCGCUUAGCUAACCGGUACUAACGGGCGAAUGCUUGGCCAC